AACGAACGCUGGCGGCAGGCUUAACACAUGCAAGUCGAGCGCACUCUUCGGAGUGAGCGGCAGACGGGUGAGUAACGCGUGGGAAUCUACCUAUCACUACGGAAUAACACAGAGAAAUUUGUGCUAAUACCGUAUACGUCCUAAUGGAGAAAGGUUUAUCGGUGAUGGAUGAGCCCGCGUUGGAUUAGCUAGUUGGUGAGGUAAAGGCUCACCAAGGCGACGAUCCAUAGCUGGUCUGAGAGGAUGAUUAGCCACACUGGGACUGAGACACGGCCCAGACUCCUACGGGAGGCAGCAGUGGGGAAUAUUGGACAAUGGGCGCAAGCCUGAUCCAGCCAUGCCGCGUGAGUGAUGAAGGCCCUAGGGUUGUAAAGCUCUUUCACCGGUGAAGAUAAUGACGGUAACCGGAGAAGAAGCCCCGGCUAACUUCGUGCCAGCCGCCGCAGUAA
Molecule: ribosomal RNA, 449 nt
Filed under: uncultured Hyphomicrobiales bacterium
Lineage: Bacteria; Pseudomonadati; Pseudomonadota; Alphaproteobacteria; Hyphomicrobiales
Description: bacterial SSU rRNA
Rfam family: Bacterial small subunit ribosomal RNA
Source: RNAcentral